RNAcentral lists this ribosomal RNA (497 nucleotides) under uncultured bacterium. Its description in RNAcentral is "partial 16S ribosomal RNA". It matches the Rfam family "Bacterial small subunit ribosomal RNA", at positions 28 to 507 of the family's 1533-position model. The record is from RNAcentral.
GAUGAACGCUGGCGGCGUGCCUAAUACAUGCAAGUCGAGCGAACGGACGAGAAGCUUGCUUCUCUGAUGUUAGCGGCGGACGGGUGAGUAACACGUGGAUAACCUACCUAUAAGACUGGGAUAACUUCGGGAAACCGUAGCUAAUACCGGAUAAUAUUUUGAACCGCAUGGUUCAAAAGUGAAAGACGGUCUUGCUGUCACUUAUAGAUGGAUCCGCGCUGCAUUAGCUAGUUGGUAAGGUAACGGCUUACCAAGGCAACGAUGCAUAGCCGACCUGAGAGGGGGGACGGCCACACUGGAGAUGAGACCCGGUGCAGGGUCCUACGGGAGGCCGCAAGAGGGAAUCUUCCGGCAAGGGCGAAAGCCGGAAGGAGCAACGCCGCGGGAGUGAUGAAGGUCUUCGGAUAGUAAAACUCUGGUAAUAGGGAAGAACAUAAGUGUAAGUAACUGUGCACAUCUUGACGGUACGUAAUCAGAAAGCCACGGCUAACUACGUG